GCCAGGCGUGGUGGCUCACGCCUGUAAUCCCAGCACUUUGGGAGGCCGAGGCGGGUGGAUCACCUGAGGUCAGGAGUUUGAGACCAGCCUGGCCAACAUGGUGAAACCCCGUCUCUA
Unclassified non-coding RNA from Pongo abelii (Sumatran orangutan), 117 nucleotides. It matches the Rfam family "Metazoan signal recognition particle RNA". From Rfam's summary of the family: The signal recognition particle (SRP) is a universally conserved ribonucleoprotein. NCBI's taxonomy places the organism in Eukaryota, Metazoa, Chordata, Mammalia, Primates, Hominidae. The record is from Ensembl.